UACGGAGGGUGCAAGCGUUGUUCGGAAUCACUGGGCGUAAAGCGCGUGUAGGCGGCCUCUUAAGUCUGGUGUGAAAGCCCGGGGCUCACCCCCGGAAGGGCACUGGAUACUGGGAGGCUAGAGUACCGGAGAGGAGGGUGGAAUUCCUGGUGUAGCGGUGAAAUGCGUAGAGAUCAGGAGGAACACCGGUGGCGAAGGCGGCCCUCUGGACGGCUACUGACGAUGAGACGCGAAAGAGUGGGGAGCAAACAGG
This 253-nucleotide ribosomal RNA is filed under the name uncultured bacterium. RNAcentral's name for it is "partial 16S ribosomal RNA". It matches the Rfam family "Bacterial small subunit ribosomal RNA", at positions 524 to 776 of the family's 1533-position model. The record is from RNAcentral.